UACGUAGGGUGCGAGCGUUGUCCGGAAUUACUGGGCGUAAAGAGCUUGUAGGUGGUUUGUCGCGUUGUUCGUGAAAACUCACAGCUCAACUGUGGGCGUGCGGGCGAUACGGGCAGACUAGAGUACUGCAGGGGAGACUGGAAUUCCUGGUGUAGCGGUGGAAUGCGCAGAUAUCGGGAGGAACACCAGUGGCGAAGGCGGCGACCUGGGCCAAUACUGACGCUGAGGUGCGAAAGCGUGGGGAGCAAACAGG
Molecule: ribosomal RNA, 253 nt
Filed under: uncultured bacterium
Lineage: Bacteria
Description: partial 16S ribosomal RNA
Rfam family: Bacterial small subunit ribosomal RNA
Source: RNAcentral